UAGCAUAUCAAUAAGCGGAGGAAAAGAAACCAACAGGGAUUGCCCUAGUAACGGCGAGUGAAGCGGCAACAGCUCAAAUUUGAAAUCUGGCCCUAGUGGUCCGAAUUGUAAUUUGUAGAGGAUGCUUUGGGCGCGGUGCCUUCCGAGUUCCUUGGAACAGGACGCCUUAGAGGGUGAGAGCCCCGUACGGUUGGACACCAAGCCUAUGUAAAGCUCCUUCGACGAGUCGAGUAGUUUGGGAAUGCUGCUCUAAAUGGGAGGUAAAUUUCUUCUAAAGCUAAAUACCGGCCAGAGACCGAUAGCGCACAAGUAGAGUGAUCGAAAGAUGAAAAGUACUUUGAAAAGAGGGUUAAAUAGCACGUGAAAUUGUUGAAAGGGAAGCAUUUAUGACCAGACCUUUGCUAGGUGGAUCAUCCGGUGUUCUUCACCGGUGCACUUCGCCUAGCUUAGGCCAGCAUCGAUUUCUGUAGGGGGAUAAAGGUCUAGGGAACGUAGCUCUCUUCGGAGAGUGUUAUAGCCCUGGGCGUAAUACCCUUACGGGGAUCGAGGUUCGCGCUUCGGCAAGGAUGCUGGCAUAAUGGUCAUCAAUGACCCGUCUUGAAACACGGACCAAGGAGUCGAACAUUUAUGCGAGUGUUUGGGUGUCAAACCCUCACGCGUAAUGAAAGUGAACGGAGGUGAGAGCCCUUACGGGUGCAUCAUCGACCGAUCCUGAUGUCUUCGGAUGGAUUUGAGUAAGAGCAUAACUGUUCGGACCCGAAAGAUGGUGAACUAUGCGUGGAUAGGGUGAAGCCAGAGGAAACUCUGGUGGAGGCUCGCAGCGGUUCUGACGUGCAAAUCGAUCGUCAAAUCUGCGCAUGGGGGCGAAAGACUUAUCGAACCAUCUAGUAGCUGGUUACCGCCGAA
Molecule: ribosomal RNA, 906 nt
Filed under: Paraeutypella citricola
Lineage: Eukaryota; Fungi; Ascomycota; Sordariomycetes; Xylariales; Diatrypaceae
Description: LSU rRNA
Rfam family: Eukaryotic large subunit ribosomal RNA
Source: RNAcentral